Molecule: ribosomal RNA, 392 nt
Filed under: uncultured bacterium
Lineage: Bacteria
Description: bacterial SSU rRNA
Rfam family: Bacterial small subunit ribosomal RNA
Source: RNAcentral
GACGAACGCUGGCGGCGUGCUUAACACAUGCAAGUCGAGCGGUAAGGCCCUUUCGGGGGUACACGAGCGGCGAACGGGUGAGUAACACGUGGGUGACCUGCCUUUAGCUCUGGGAUAAGCCCGGGAAACCGGGUCUAAUACCGGAUAUGACUCCGCGGCGCAUGUUGUGGGGUGGAAAGCCUUGUGCGGCUGGAGAUGGGCCCGCGGCCUAUCAGCUUGUUGGUGGGGUGAUGGCCACCAAGGCGACGACGGGUAGCCGGCCUGAGAGGGCGACCGGCCACACUGGGACUGAGACACGGCCCAGACUCCUACGGGAGGCAGCAGUGGGGAAUCUUGCGCAAUGGGCGAAAGCCUGACGCAGCGACGCCGCGUGAGGGAUGACGGCCUCGGUU